Molecule: ribosomal RNA, 253 nt
Filed under: uncultured bacterium
Lineage: Bacteria
Description: partial 16S ribosomal RNA
Rfam family: Bacterial small subunit ribosomal RNA
Source: RNAcentral
UACGUAGGGCGCAAGCGUUGUCCGGAAUUAUUGGGCGUAAAGAGCUCGUAGGCGGUCUGGUAAGCGUGUGGUGAAAGCUCGGGGCUCAACCCCGAGUCGGCCGUGCGAACUGCUGGACUGGAGCAUGUCAGAGGCAGGCGGAAUUCCGGGUGUAGCGGUGGAAUGCGUAGAGAUCCGGAAGAACACCGGUGGCGAAGGCGGCCUGCUGGGACAUGGCUGACGCUGAGGCGCGACAGCGUGGGGAGCAAACAGG